UGAAAGAUAAGCUAAACAUUUAAGCUAAUGGGUUCAUACCCCAUGAAUGAGUAAACCUCUCUUUCAA
RNAcentral lists this transfer RNA (67 nucleotides) under Somanniathelphusa bawangensis. RNAcentral describes it as "tRNA-Met". The record is from RNAcentral. Lineage: Eukaryota; Metazoa; Arthropoda; Malacostraca; Decapoda; Parathelphusidae.